RNAcentral lists this long non-coding RNA (531 nucleotides) under Homo sapiens (human). RNAcentral's name for it is "non-protein coding lnc-CISH-1:1". The record is from RNAcentral. Lineage: Eukaryota; Metazoa; Chordata; Mammalia; Primates; Hominidae.
ACCCUAGCUCAGGCCGGCAGAGCCAGCGCUCGCGGAUGCGGCUGGUGCGCAGUAGCGGGCCUGGCCAGCGGCUCGGGGCUUGCAGGGAGGGCGGAUCUCGGGUCGGACCCGCAGCCCCAGACGCCGGGCUUGGGGGUUCCCCCCGCCCCGGCCUCCUGCCAGUCACUACCACCCCUAGCCUCUCCAACUGAGCUCGGCGCCGGGAGAGGAUUAACAUGAACUCCAGGACCGCAUCUGCUAGGGGCUGGUUCAGCAGCCGCCCACCCACCUCUGAGUCUGACCUGGAACCUGCCACAGAUGGGCCAGCCUCCGAGACCACUACCCUCAGCCCAGAGGCCACCACCUUUAAUGACACCAGAAUCCCUGAUGCAGCUGGUGGCACGGCCGGCGUGGGUACCAUGCUUCUGUCCUUUGGGAUCAUCACGGUGAUAGGCCUGGCUGUGGCCUUGGUGAGAGCUGGGGUAGGCUGGGGGAGGAUAAUCAGUGUUUAGAUUUAUAGAGAACCUAAUCAAUCAGAAGACAAUCUGGUUG